ACAAGCGGUGGAUGAUGUGGUUUAAUUCGAUGCAACGCGAAAACCUUACCACCUUUGACAUGGCAGGAAUCCCGAAGAGAUUGGGAGUGCUCGAAAGAGAACCUGCACACAGGUGCUGCAUGGCUGUCGUCAGCUCGUGUCGUGAGAUGUUGGGUUAAGUCCCGCAACGAGCGCAACCCUUGCCAUUAGUUGCUACGAAAGGGGCACUCUAAUGGGAACUGCCGGUGACAAACCGGAGGAAGGUGGGGAUGACGUCAAGUCCUCAUGGCCCUUAUAGGUGGGGCUACACACGUCAUACAAUGGCCGGUACAGAGGGUAGCCAACCCGCGAGGGGGAGCCAAUCCCACAAAGCCGGUCGUAGUCCGGAUCGCAGUCUGCAACUCGACUGCGUGAAGUCGGAAUCGCUAGUAAUCGCGGAUCAGCAUGUCGCGGUGAAUACGUUCCCGGGUCUU
RNAcentral lists this ribosomal RNA (452 nucleotides) under uncultured Allobrachymonas sp. RNAcentral's name for it is "bacterial SSU rRNA". It matches the Rfam family "Bacterial small subunit ribosomal RNA", at positions 925 to 1382 of the family's 1533-position model. Lineage: Bacteria; Pseudomonadati; Pseudomonadota; Betaproteobacteria; Burkholderiales; Comamonadaceae. The record is from RNAcentral.